Molecule: ribosomal RNA, 1171 nt
Filed under: Salmonella enterica subsp. enterica serovar Newport str. CVM 35185
Lineage: Bacteria; Pseudomonadati; Pseudomonadota; Gammaproteobacteria; Enterobacterales; Enterobacteriaceae
Description: bacterial LSU rRNA
Rfam family: Bacterial large subunit ribosomal RNA
Source: RNAcentral
GGUUAAGCGACUAAGCGUACACGGUGGAUGCCCUGGCAGUCAGAGGCGAUGAAGGGCGUGCUAAUCUGCGAUAAGCGCCGGUAAGGUGAUAUGAACCGUUAUAACCGGCGAUACCCGAAUGGGGAAACCCAGUGUGACUCGUCACACUAUCAUUAACUGAAUCCAUAGGUUAAUGAGGCGAACCGGGGGAACUGAAACAUCUAAGUACCCCGAGGAAAAGAAAUCAACCGAGAUUCCCCCAGUAGCGGCGAGCGAACGGGGAGGAGCCCAGAGCCUGAAUCAGCAUGUGUGUUAGUGGAAGCGUCUGGAAAGGCGCGCGAUACAGGGUGACAGCCCCGUACACAAAAGCGCAUGUGCUGUGAGCUCGAUGAGUAGGGCGGGACACGUGGUAUCCUGUCUGAAUAUGGGGGGACCAUCCUCCAAGGCUAAAUACUCCUGACUGACCGAUAGUGAACCAGUACCGUGAGGGAAAGGCGAAAAGAACCCCGGCGAGGGGAGUGAAAAAGAACCUGAAACCGUGUACGUACAAGCAGUGGGAGCACCCUUUUGGGGUGUGACUGCGUACCUUUUGUAUAAUGGGUCAGCGACUUAUAUUCUGUAGCAAGGUUAACCGAAUAGGGGAGCCGGAGGGAAACCGAGUCUUAACCGGGCGUUAAGUUGCAGGGUAUAGACCCGAAACCCGGUGAUCUAGCCAUGGGCAGGUUGAAGGUUGGGUAACACUAACUGGAGGACCGAACCGACUAAUGUUGAAAAAUUAGCGGAUGACCUGUGGCUGGGGGUGAAAGGCCAAUCAAACCGGGAGAUAGCUGGUUCUCCCCGAAAGCUAUUUAGGUAGCGCCUCGUGAAUUCAUCUCCGGGGGUAGAGCACUGUUUCGGCUAGGGGGCCAUCCCGGCUUACCAACCCGAUGCAAACUGCGAAUACCGGAGAAUGUUAUCACGGGAGACACACGGCGGGUGCUAACGUCCGUCGUGAAGAGGGAAACAACCCAGACCGCCAGCUAAGGUCCCAAAGUCAUGGUUAAGUGGGAAACGAUGUGGGAAGGCCCAGACAGCCAGGAUGUUGGCUUAGAAGCAGCCAUCAUUUAAAGAAAGCGUAAUAGCUCACUGGUCGAGUCGGCCUGCGCGGAAGAUGUAACGGGGCUAAACCAUGCACCGAAGCUGCGGCAGCGAC